This 2632-nucleotide long non-coding RNA is filed under the name Olea europaea subsp. europaea. The record is from RNAcentral. Lineage: Eukaryota; Viridiplantae; Streptophyta; Magnoliopsida; Lamiales; Oleaceae.
CUGGGAGUGAUUUUUUCUCAAAAAAAUUGAUUUUUUAACCGUUAUUUCACUAUUUUAAUCGUCAUGUUUGACUUCUUCUCUCACAGAUGGACCCCCAUUUUUUUACUAAUGGUCAAAAAAUCAACUCUCAAAAUCUCUCCCAAACAGCUCUUGGCUACUAUUCAAGGGCAAUUUUGGAAACAACGAAAUAAAAUUUCCUCUAUUAAAGAGCUGGACUUUCCUCAGCACAAUACAACUGCACUACAAUCAUGGCUGCUACACGAGUGAUUCUUACACUGCUUCUUUCUCUCUUCUGUGUUUCCCUGGUAUAAAUCUCAUAAGGACUCUCUUUUAAUCACCACAAAUGUAAAUUUAUUAUGAUUUAACGGUGUAACUUGCAGGCUUCGUCCGAUUUAAAGAUUGAUGAAGGAAAAAAACAUCACAGCGAGGCAUUUCGUGUAAUUUAUCUCUUUUCUUUUAGUUUUUUGUUUCCUCUUAAGUGUUUGAUGAAAUGCCAUUGUGGGUUUUGUUCCUCAAUCUUUUCUUUUUGUGUGUCUGUGUUUUUCAGGUGUUUUCCAGAGGCACAGACAGAAAUCUCAUGCAGGAUACGGGUGAGUGAUCAUUUAGAUUUUUUAACCUAGUUGUGUAAAUUUGGGGCUUUUAUCUUGAUCCGUUUUUUAAUAAUGAUAAGACUUAGCGCCUGCUUGUCUACGUUUAAAAUAAAACUCUUUAGAGCCUGUUUUAGAGCAUGUUUAGGAAUGAUUCUGGGAAUUGAUUUUUUGAUAAAAUGAGGUUGAUUGAAGAAGUCAAAUAUGACGGUUGAAAUAAUGAAAUAACAGUAAAAAAAAAAAAAAAAUCAAUUUUUUGGGGGUAAAAAAACACUCCCAAACAGCCUCUUAAAUUUUCAUUUUCAUUUUCGACUGUAUGUUCACUUGAUAAAAUAUUUUACACAUGAACUCAAAAAAAUUUCCUACUUUUCACAGCAUAUUCUUCAAAAAAAUCGAUAUUCAACACAUCAUUUUUUUUUCUCAAAAUAAUGGCCAUCGAACAAGGGCUUAGUGUAUCGUUGUAGCGUUUUAUUUAUAACACAUUGGCGCUGCCCAUAAUGUAGUAAGUGCAUGUUUGGCAAAGCUUAGAGGACGCAUAACUAUAUUAUCAACUUAUUAUAUACACAUGAUGAUGUGGGACUAACAAUUUAUGACCCUCCCAAACAAGCGCCAAAAAUGAUCACGAAAUACUUGGACACUGGUGCUCCUGCUCCGGCUCUGGCUCCGGUUCCGCCUCCAGCUCCGACCCCAGCUCACGGCAUCGACUGUGGUGGGCUGUGCAAGUACAGGUGCAGCCAGCACUCCAGGCAAAAUUUGUGUAUAAGGGCAUGUGGGACUUGUUGUGUGAGGUGCAAGUGUGUGCCACCAGGAACCUCCGGCAAUAGAGAGAUGUGUGGAAAAUGUUAUACUGAUAUGACCACCCAUCGCAACAAGACCAAGUGUCCUUAGGCCAAGUAUUUAGAUUGAAACUCUUUUGGGUGUGUUUGUCUUUAUCUAUGUUAGAACAAAUGGGCGUGUUUGGUUCGAUCUUAUAAUAUUGGGCAAUAUUGAAAAAUUAAAAAUUUCGUAUUGUCUCUAAUUCAGUACUAAAUAUCAAGUAUGGAUAGUUUUAUAUAAUUAUCUAUCAAGUCAUUUGUGGUAAAUAAAUCUAUUCCUUUUCUACUUUAUAUUGUUGAUUUGAUGCUUGUUUGGCAAGAGGUUCUUUGAAAAACAUUUUUCCUUGGACGCACAUUUGACUUGCAACCUUUUUCACUUUUUAACUACAUACCUUUUUUCAUUAAAAAAAAAAAAUAAAUAUUCAUUUUUCUCUUGGACAUAUCUGUGCCAUUUUUUUUUUCCUUUUCUUCUGUGACUGAAAAAAGUGGCCACUUGAAGCCCUAAUGCAUCUCCAUUUCUAUUUGUUUCAUUAUUUUUGAGUCCAUCCAAGUCCAACAAUAUAAAAUAUCAUAAUUUACAUCACAAUUCAUUGAAAAACUCCUAUUUUAGAGGAUAAUUUUUUAGCAUUAAAUCAGCAAUAGAUUCGAAGGAGAUUUAUCGAUUCUUCCUCGAUUUUCUGUUAUCGAUAAAUCAAAGAAGCGAGGAGGAAAAAUUGUAUUGAUUAAUUAUAUAGGGAUUUAUAAGUAUGUUUAUACAAGUAGCUAAACGUUUUGCUAUGCCAUAGAAAUGAUCUCUGGAAUGAUUAGGCAAACUAUGACACCUAGAUAAACAUCCCAUUAUCUGUAAUUCCAAAAUGUUGAUUCAAACUCUUGGUAGUUACAUAAAAGACGUUACUUCUAUGAAGGUUGAACCCUAAUUUUGAGGGUUCUUAUCGUUCCGUCUCUAGAGUUUUGUGAGUAGUAAAUUUUGGGAUGUGCCCCAACAGGUCAGGGAACAAGAGCUGCGUGUACAUUGCGUCUACAAGGAGUCAAAUUUCAUGUCUUAGAAAUCGAAUCCUCACAUUGCAAAAGACGUUACUUCUAUGCUUACGCGCUACAAUGCGUUAUAUAUUGAUAUUUUCUUGAUAGUUUAUCAAGUUUGAGUAAAAUUUAGAAAAGUUUAUGAAAAUUUCAGGACGCCCCUAUGUUUUCCCAAAUUUUAGUAACUUUCCCUAUCAGCAGAAAGUUCCC